RNAcentral lists this ribosomal RNA (435 nucleotides) under uncultured Orbus sp. Its description in RNAcentral is "bacterial SSU rRNA". It matches the Rfam family "Bacterial small subunit ribosomal RNA", at positions 355 to 774 of the family's 1533-position model. The record is from RNAcentral. Lineage: Bacteria; Pseudomonadati; Pseudomonadota; Gammaproteobacteria; Orbales; Orbaceae.
UGGGAAGUAUUGCAUCAAUGGGGAACCGGUAGCAUGCAGCCAUGCCGCGUGUAUGAAGAAGGCCUUAGGGUUGUAAAGUACUUUCGGUGAUGAGGAAGGUACUUGGUCUAAUAGGCCAAGUAAUUGACGUUAAUUACAGAAGAAGCACCGGCUAACUCCGUGCCAGCAGCCGCGGUAAUACGGAGGGUGCGAGCGUUAAUCGGAAUGACUGGGCGUAAAGGGCAUGUAGGCGGAUGAUUAAGUUAGGUGUGAAAAUCCCCGACGCGCUCAACUUGGGGAAUUGCAUUUAAAACUGGUCGUCUAGAGUAUUGUAGAGGAAGGUAGAAUUCCACGUGUAGCGGUGAAAUGCGUUAGAGAUGUGGAGGAAUACCGGUGGCGAAGGCGGCCUUCUGGACAGAUACUGACGCUGAGAUGCGAAAGCGUGGGGAGCAAACA